UACGUAGGGGGCGAGCGUUGUCCGGAAUGACUGGGCGUAAAGGGUGCGUAGGCGGCCCGAGAGGUCCUGGGUGAAAGGCCCCGGCUCAACCGGGGAGGGCCCCAGGAAACCGGCGGGCUAGGGGGCUGGAGAGGGCCGCGGAAUUCCCGGUGUAGCGGUGAAAUGCGUAGAUAUCGGGAAGAACACCAGUGGCGAAGGCGGCCUCCUGGACUAACACUGACGCUGAGGUACGAAAGCGUGGGGAUCAAACAGG
RNAcentral lists this ribosomal RNA (253 nucleotides) under uncultured bacterium. Its description in RNAcentral is "partial 16S ribosomal RNA". It matches the Rfam family "Bacterial small subunit ribosomal RNA", at positions 524 to 776 of the family's 1533-position model. The record is from RNAcentral.